CUGAGAGGGUCUCCCAACUGCCCUUCUCCCCAACGAAGGACAAUGUGACCUGCGGGUGAGACAGUUGGACAGUCCCAGAAAAACAGGACUGUCACGCCAAAAUCUGGACAGUUGGGAGUGACCUCUGCAGCAGAUUGGCCCAUUCUUUCAGAGUCAGGUCAUUUACAGUACAUGGCAGGACUGCAGGGAGUUCUAAACCAGCCGCUUAACAAUUUUUAUUGGCAAGAUGAUAUACAAAAACAUUGAAGUGACCUGCACAGAGGUCUCAAGAUGACAUCCAACAAAAUAGUGUCAUGACACAAAUCAAUAUGAUAAU
Pseudophryne corroboree (corroboree frog) is the source of this 316-nucleotide long non-coding RNA. RefSeq lists it as uncharacterized. The record is from RefSeq and is a predicted model, not a curated record. NCBI's taxonomy places the organism in Eukaryota, Metazoa, Chordata, Amphibia, Anura, Myobatrachidae. The transcript is spliced from 3 exons.